CUCUUGUCGUUCAUGGGUAGGACACCGGACUGCGGAUCCGGAGAUCGGGGUUCGAGUCUCCGUAGGAGCA
RNAcentral lists this transfer RNA (70 nucleotides) under Streptomyces yaizuensis. RNAcentral's name for it is "Streptomyces sp. YSPA8 tRNA-Arg". It matches the Rfam family "tRNA". Rfam says of the family: Transfer RNA (tRNA) molecules are approximately 80 nucleotides in length. Their secondary structure includes four short double-helical elements and three loops (D, anti-codon, and T loops). The record is from RNAcentral. Lineage: Bacteria; Bacillati; Actinomycetota; Actinomycetes; Kitasatosporales; Streptomycetaceae.